GAUGAAGAACGCAGCGAAAUGCGAUAAGUAGUGUGGAUUGCAGAAUUCAGUGAAUCAUCGAAUCUUUGAACGCACAUUGCGCCCCUUGGUAUUCCAUGGGGCAUGCCUGUUCGAGCGUCAUUUGUACCUUCAAGCUCUGCUUGGUGUUGGGUGUUUGUCCUUGCUCUAGUGGCGGGACUCGCCUUAAAGUAAUUGGCAGCCAGUGUUUUGGUUUUGAAGCGCAGCACAAGUCGCGAUUCAAGUCUAUACGCUAGUUUCCACAAGUCUUUUAUCACUUUUGACCUCGGAUCAGGUAGGGAUACCCGCUGAACUUAAGCAUAUCAAUAAGCGGAGGA
RNAcentral lists this unclassified non-coding RNA (335 nucleotides) under soil metagenome. RNAcentral's name for it is "partial contains 5.8S ribosomal RNA, internal transcribed spacer 2, and large subunit ribosomal RNA". The stretch from base 1 to 120 matches the Rfam family "5.8S ribosomal RNA", at positions 35 to 154 of the family's 154-position model. The record is from RNAcentral.